CUGGUUGGUGGAGAAUUUGAACUGGAGAUGAACUCUAUUAUCCAGGAUGCUGAGAGUAUAAUACGCAUGACAGAGCUUUUAGAGCACUGUGAUGUAACAUGUCAAGCAGAAAUAGGGAGCAUGUUUACAGCCAUUCUAUGAAAAAGUGUUUGGAAUGUACAGACUAGCACAGAAGUUGGGCUAAUUAAACAAGUAUUGCUGAAAAUGAGUGCUGUAGAUGACAUGAGAGCAGUUUUCAUGCUAGCAAAGGAGUUGGUUACUCUGCUCAUUUUGUUGGCAACUGUUUUAUAGUCACAUCAUCGAAGUCCAAAGGAAAAUGUUUUCAGCAUUGUGUGAAAUAUGAUUUUCAACCACAGUACCUUCAAGUUUAAAUCUAAGAGUGAUAUUCAUUUGGCAGAACAUCAUAAACAGGUUUUAUAUGAUGGGAAACUUGCAAGUAGCAUUGCCUUUACAUAUAAUUGCUAGGGCCACUGAUACUCAACUCUGCCUGGAAUCAUCACCAAAAGAGGAUGCAUCAAUUUUUGUGCAUUCCCAACAUGCUCUAAUGCUUCCGGAUGUGAAAGGGAUAGUAACACAUUCAAUUCAUAGUGCAAUUCAUUCAAUUGGACAGAUUCAAGUGCUUUUUCCACUGUUUCCCCAGUUGGAUAAUUGGCAGCUCAAUGACAGUCAAGUGGAAACAACUGUC
This 685-nucleotide long non-coding RNA is filed under the name Homo sapiens (human). Its description in RNAcentral is "non-protein coding lnc-POTEH-8:2". The record is from RNAcentral. Lineage: Eukaryota; Metazoa; Chordata; Mammalia; Primates; Hominidae.